GGCAGCAGUGGGGAAUCUUCCGCAAUGGGCGCAAGCCUGACGGAGCAACGCCGCGUGAGUGAAGAAGGCCUUCGGGUUGUAAAACUCUGUCAUCAGGGAAGAAGAAAGUGACGGUACCUGAGGAGGAAGCCCCGGCUAACUACGUGCCAGCAGCCGCGGUAAAACGUAGGGGGCGAGCGUUGUCCGGAAUUACUGGGCGUAAAGGGCGCGUAGGCGGUUAUCCAAGUCAGGGGUGAAAACCUUGGGCUCAACUCAGGGCCUGCCUCUGAAACUGGGUAACUUGAGGGCAGGAGAGGGGAGUGGAAUUCCCAGUGUAGCGGUGAAAUGCGUAGAUAUUGGGAGGAACACCAGUGGCGAAGGCGGCUCUCUGGCCUAACCCUGACGCUGAGGCGCGAAAGCGUGGGGAUCAAACAGGAUUAGAUACCCUGGUAGUCCACGCCGUAAACGAUGAGUGCUAAGUGU
This 462-nucleotide ribosomal RNA is filed under the name uncultured Bacillota bacterium. RNAcentral's name for it is "bacterial SSU rRNA". It matches the Rfam family "Bacterial small subunit ribosomal RNA", at positions 347 to 823 of the family's 1533-position model. Lineage: Bacteria; Bacillati; Bacillota. The record is from RNAcentral.